This 175-nucleotide small nuclear RNA is filed under the name Mesocricetus auratus (golden hamster). Its description in RNAcentral is "U2 spliceosomal RNA". It matches the Rfam family "U2 spliceosomal RNA". From Rfam's summary of the family: U2 is a small nuclear RNA (snRNA) component of the spliceosome (involved in pre-mRNA splicing). Complementary binding between U2 snRNA (in an area lying towards the 5' end but 3' to hairpin I) and the branchpoint sequence (BPS) of the intron results the bulging out of an unpaired adenosine, on the BPS, which initiates a nucleophilic attack at the intronic 5' splice site, thus starting the first of two transesterification reactions that mediate splicing. The record is from Rfam by way of RNAcentral. Lineage: Eukaryota; Metazoa; Chordata; Mammalia; Rodentia; Cricetidae.
AUCACUUCUCGGCCUUUUGGCUAAGAUCAAGUGUAGUAUCUGUUCUUAUCAUUUGCUUCUGGCUAGUUCACAUAGUGGAACACCACUACUUCCAACUACAGUUAUAUUUGGAUAUAAAAUCUUUUAAGUAGAUCGGGUUGGUUAGGAUUAGGACCCUGGGCACAGUCCUACUUCA